UACGGGGGGGGGCAAGUGUUGUUCGGAAUUACUGGGCGUAAAGGGCUCGUAGGCGGCCAACUAAGUCAGACGUGAAAUCCCCAGGCUCAACCUGGGAACUGCGUCUGAUACUGGAUGGCUUGAAUCCGGGAGAGGGAUGCAGAAUUCCAGGUGUAGCGGUGAAAUGCGUAGAUAUCUGGAGGAAUACCGGUGGCGAAGGCGGCAUCCUGGACCGGCAUUGACGCUGAGGAGCGAAAGCCAGGGGAGCAAACGGG
RNAcentral lists this ribosomal RNA (254 nucleotides) under uncultured bacterium. Its description in RNAcentral is "partial 16S ribosomal RNA". It matches the Rfam family "Bacterial small subunit ribosomal RNA", at positions 524 to 776 of the family's 1533-position model. The record is from RNAcentral.